This 483-nucleotide ribosomal RNA is filed under the name uncultured bacterium. RNAcentral describes it as "partial 16S ribosomal RNA". It matches the Rfam family "Bacterial small subunit ribosomal RNA", at positions 30 to 507 of the family's 1533-position model. The record is from RNAcentral.
UUGAACGCUGGCGGCAGGCCUAACACAUGCAAGUCGAGCGGAUGAAGGGAGCUUGCUCCUGGAUUCAGCGGCGGACGGGUGAGUAAUGCCUAGGAAUCUGCCUGGUAGUGGGGGAUAACGUCCGGAAACGGGCGCUAAUACCGCAUACGUUCUGAGGGAGAAAGUGGGGGAUCUUCGGACCUCACGCUAUCAGAUAAGCCUAGGUCGGAUUAGCUAGUUGGUGGGGUAAAGGCCUACCAAGGCGACGAUCCGUAACUGGUCUGAGAGGAUGAUCAGUCACACUGGAACUGAGACACGGUCCAGACUCCUACGGGAGGCAGCAGUGGGGAAUAUUGGACAAAGGGCAAAAGCCUGAUCCAGCCAUGCCGCGUGUGUGAAGAAGGUCUUCGGAUUGUAAAGCACUUUAAGUUGGGAGGAAGGGCAGUAAGUUAAUACCUUGCUGUUUUGACGUUACCAACAGAAUAAGCACCGGCUAACUUCGUG